RNAcentral lists this ribosomal RNA (547 nucleotides) under uncultured rumen protozoa. RNAcentral describes it as "SSU rRNA". It matches the Rfam family "Eukaryotic small subunit ribosomal RNA", at positions 104 to 704 of the family's 1831-position model. The record is from RNAcentral.
AAACAGUUAUAGUUUAUUUGAUAUAUUAAAUGGAUAACUGUAGAAAAACUAGAGCUAAUACAUGCCGAAGCCGCAAGGUUGUAUUUAUUAGAUAUUCCAAUUAGGUGAAUCAUGAUAACUUUGCAAAUCUCGGUUUUGCCGAGAUAAAUCAUCCAAGUUUCUGCCCUAUCAUGCUUUCGAUGGUAGUGUAUUGGACUACCAUGGCUUUCACGGGUAACAGGGAAUUAGGGUCGAUUUCUGAGAAGGAGCCUGAGAAACGGCUACUACAUCUACGGAAGGCAGCAGGCGCGUAAAUUACCCAAUCCUGACUCAGGGAGGUGGUGACAAGAUAUAACAACGCAAUUUAAUUGUGAUUGUAGUGAGGGUUUUCCAAACCGAACCACUAGUACGAUUAGAGGGCAAGUCUGGUGCCAGCAGCCGCGGUAAUUCCAGCUCUAAUAGCGUAUAUUAAAGUUGCUGCAGUUAAAAGCUCGUAGUUGGAUUUCAGGAUUGUGUACUCUCUCAGAGUAUGCACCCUACUAGUCUUUGACUGUACUGGUGGAGAAAU